AACGAACGCUGGCGGCAUGCCUAACACAUGCAAGUCGAACGAGACCUUCGGGUCUAGUGGCGCACGGGUGCGUAACGCGUGGGAACCUGCCCUUAGGUUCGGAAUAACUCCCCGAAAGGGGUGCUAAUACCGGAUAAUGUCUUCGGACCAAAGAUUUAUCGCCUUUGGAUGGGCCCGCGUUGGAUUAGCUAGUUGGUAGGGUAAAAGCCUACCAAGGCGACGAUCCAUAGCUGGUCUGAGAGGAUGAUCAGCCACACUGGGACUGAGACACGGCCCUGACUACUACGGGAGGAAGCAGUGGGGAAUAUUGGACAAUGGGCGAAAGCCUGAUCCAGCCAUGCCGCGUGAGUGAUGAAGGCCUUAGGGUUGUAAAGCUCUUUUACCCGGGAUGAUAAUGACGGUACCGGGAGAAUAAGCUCCGGCUAACUCCGUG
RNAcentral lists this ribosomal RNA (433 nucleotides) under uncultured bacterium. RNAcentral's name for it is "partial 16S ribosomal RNA". It matches the Rfam family "Bacterial small subunit ribosomal RNA", at positions 29 to 507 of the family's 1533-position model. The record is from RNAcentral.